UUUAUUUUAUUUUAUUUUAUUUUAUUUUAUUUUAUUUUAUUUUAUUUCAUUUCAUUUCAUUUCAUUUCAUUUCAUUUCAUUUCAUUUCAUUUCAUUCCUUUACAAUAACAAAGUUGCACAGAAGGGAUAUAAAGAUGACAAAAGUACCGCUCUUCAAGAACAACAUUUAUCCUUUGGAAACUACAAAGACUGGGUGCAUAGUUUGUAAGAUUUCUAUUUUAUUUUAUUUUUUUUUAAAUAAUGUUUUCUUUUAUGCCUAAAUUUUCCUUGUCAGGUUUUCUCUCGACACCACAAGUGCACACAGUCAUCAGUUUCUGUGAAAAACUAAUGCAAAAAUGACAGUGGAGAAGAAAUCCUUACAGCAGCAGCUGCUGCCAGGUGAUUGCACUGCACCAUCACGGCCUUCUGCAGAGAAGCACAGCUGCAUCCUCGCCUUGCCUGAUGCAUCCAAACUAUACAGCUGCUAUUCCCUCCCACCUCCCAAGAUGGACUUUGAUGGACAGAAGAACCUGAGGAUGUGGUUCAGGAGAAGGUUUUGA
This 539-nucleotide long non-coding RNA is filed under the name Anas platyrhynchos platyrhynchos (common mallard). Its description in RNAcentral is "lncRNA (ENSAPLG00000027130.1)". The record is from RNAcentral. Lineage: Eukaryota; Metazoa; Chordata; Aves; Anseriformes; Anatidae.